This 820-nucleotide ribosomal RNA is filed under the name Waminoa sp. Favts2M-5. Its description in RNAcentral is "bacterial SSU rRNA". It matches the Rfam family "Eukaryotic small subunit ribosomal RNA", at positions 416 to 1235 of the family's 1831-position model. Lineage: Eukaryota; Metazoa; Xenacoelomorpha; Acoela; Haploposthiidae. The record is from RNAcentral.
CCAAGGAAGGCAGCAGGCGCGAAAAUUACCCACUUCCAGCGCGGAGAGGUAGUGACUAGUCAUAACAAAUAUAGACCCUAGUGGUUUGUAUUUGGACUGGUGAGAUGUUAUAAAUAUCUCAGUAAUCUAGAUCAGGGCAAGUCUGGUGCCAGCAGCCGCGGUAAUACCAGCCUGAUCAAGCGUAUGCUUUAGUUGCUGCGUUUAAAAAGCUCAUAGUUGGAUCUUCGAAAGCGUGAUCAUCAAAGGGCGUAGUUCGGUUACGGUCGUUCUAUUCCUGGUCACGGUCUUUCACUAUACUUGGAAGACAGUUUAUUCUUAACUGAAUAGACUGAUCGAAAACAAGUGAUAAACCUUGAAAAAAUUAGAGUGCUCAAAGCAAGCUUUGGCCUUGAAUUUUAAAGCAUGGAAUUGAGGAAGAGGACCAUUAUGGUCGUGAACCAUUUUGGUAAUGAUUAAAAGGAACAGACGGGGGCAUACGUAUUGCUCGGGGAGGGGUGAAAUCCGUAGAUCCCAGCAAGACGACCUACUGCGAAAGCAUUUGCCAAGAAUGUUUUCAUUAAUCAAGAACGAAAGUUAGAGUAUUAAAGAGGAUUAGAUACCCUCGUAAUUCUAACCUUAAACGAUACCAUCCUAAUCUUAGCCAAUGUAAUUUAUUACUUGGUUAGGAUUAAACCGGGAAACCAAAGACAUUUGGUUCCGGGGGGAGUAUGGUUGCAAAAUCGAAACUUAAAGGGAAUUGACGGAGGGGCACCACCAGGAGUGGAGCCUGCGGCUUAAUUUUGACUCAACACGGGGAAACCUACCAGGUCCAGACAUCUCA